AACCAGCAGCUGCAGUCCAAUCCACUCGGCAGACACCACACAUGAAUCAGCAAGGGCAGUUCAAUCCAGAAGAGACUGACUGCCAGGCUUGCCAAUGGGCUAGAAACUGUGGAAGCAGCAAGAAGCCGCAGGAAUCUCAUGAGGAGUUCUCUGAGAGAAGCACUUAGCCUUGACAGCCAUCAUGAAACUUGCUUGGAGUUUUAGUUAUCAAACUCGUGAAUCAAUACAUGGCGUCCCAGAGUCUCCACCCCUUGUCCAGAAGGACCAUCAUUUCUCUCAGUGACCAUCUCCUCCACUGCUGUGGUCUGGAAGCUUCGAAGCUUCUGUUGCAUCAUCCCGUGACUGUGAAGGAAGAAGUCCAGGGAUUGUUUCUUUAGGAGACAUCAGAGAAGAUGGGAGGUGUGUGGGAAAGCGAGUGUUGGAGACUGGGCAAUGGUACGGAGGAAGGAGAAAACCCAUGACUGCAUGGUCUGAACUGUGAGGAUGCACCGAGACAAGUCUGUACUUAGUUGAGGGGACUUUCAGAGUAAUCUCAAGUCAUUGCCAUGGUGGCCUUAGAGUUGGAGUUUCUGUCAUUCCACAGUUCUUCUCUGCUUAGGUCAUGAAUGUCCUUACAAAAUGGUUCAGUGGCUUUUCAGACUUUGAGCUGUGGCCAUUAGACACAGUGUCAUUAUUAUGAUUUACCACCUGUCUUUGAGAGAGAAAGGGAGAGAGGGAGGAAGAGAGAGAGAGAGAGAGAGAGAGAGAGAGAGAGAGAGAGAGAGAGAAGAGAGAGAGAGUAAGAAUAGGAAACAUAACACUACACACUGCUGAAAAGCUUCUUUUUGAAAUUUGUGUUUCAGUUCUAAUGUUCAUCAACUAUAUGUAUAUAUUAUACAUGUGUGUGCCUUGUUAUAUGUAAUUGGAAAAUAUUAUAUUUUAAAUCUGUGUAUAACUUGGUGAUGCAGGUUCUGGUGUGAAAAGACUAAUAUAAGAUAAACAACUAUUCUAACAAAGAAUUCCACCUUUACAAUACGCUGACUAAGGUCAUCCUAGCCACGCCUGAACACUCAGCACUUUCCUCUUUCACCUAGACUAUGUUUAACAAGGCAGGGCUCUUGUAAGGUGCCUCUAGCUUGCCUUGCGUGCGUCAGCCCUUCCAUUCUGAGCCCUGCCCUUCUGUGCCCCUCCCCCCUUUAGCAAGUUGAAUUGUGUCUUCUAGUGAUACCUCUUGUGGCAAUGACUGACUUCUAGCUGGUGUACCUCAGGAGCUGCAAAGCCUUCUGGGAGAAGACUCACUAGCUGGUCCAGUUCACCAUUAGGUAACUCAUACCAUGCACAGGGGCGGUGGGAAUCCUUAGCCCUGUGCCCCAACUGCCUUUUAAACUGACUAAUUACUUAUCUUUAAAACAAUUAUAGGUGGAAGUCAGGUGUAUGAUCAGCAUUAAAAAAAAUGUUUGAGUCAGACAGUUUCUUAGACUAGUUGAACCUUCACCUUGUCCUAAUUACAAAAUACGGAACGAGCAAACAUGGAACUUAAUAGGACACACUAAUGUAAGCACCAUCUUCAGCGCCGGGUCAGCUUCUGAGUCCAACAAGACCUGAAUCGUCUGGUCUAAAUGGAGUUUGUGCAUGGCUAGCACCAAGUGAUCCCCUCUGCUUGUUUUAUGUCUCUUUACCCUAGGCUCUUAUUAUGAAAGGAACUAACUCCCUCCAUAGCAUCUCUUUAUUUACCAUAAGAAGAGUUUUAGCUCAGACACUCACAGUGGGGAAACUGGGUAUGAGAGUGUUAGGCUGCCAUCAUAGCAUGGAGCAGGGUUGGGCAUGGUUGGAGGAUCAUGAAUGUUGUGAGGUCCAGGGCAACUGGAGCUGUACAGUGACUCCCUGUCUCAAACCCAAACAAAACCAAUAAUAAAAGAUGGGAGCAACAGGUCGGCAGAAUGACCGUUUCCACUCUA
Molecule: long non-coding RNA, 1937 nt
Organism: Mus caroli (Ryukyu mouse)
Lineage: Eukaryota; Metazoa; Chordata; Mammalia; Rodentia; Muridae
Source: RefSeq, a predicted model, not a curated record